CAUCAUUUUUUAUUUGUGCAUUAUUCAUCAAUCAAUUUUGAUAAAGUCAAGUGGGAUCUUGUUAAAUUCGUAUUAAUGCAAGGAUUCCAAAUAUCAACUUUUUAUAAUUUUUACUUAUACGCAUUUAGAGAUAUUAAUGUUCAAAUAAGCGCGUUGGCAUACGUGCAAUGAGAAAUGAUGCAUCUAUUGUGGAACGGAAGAAGUAUAUAUAAUCAGUGGCGGACCUAGGGUGGGACAUCCUAGGUCACGUGACCCACCAAUACUUAAAAAAAUAAAAAAAUAAAAAAAAUAAAAUAAAUUGUAAACCCAAAUAAUUCACGCAGCCACCAGCGCUCUCUGUCUUCGACGCAGCCAAAAUAAAACUCAAAACCUAAAGAAACCUCCCUCUCUCUCUUCGACGCAGCCACCAGCCCACCAACCUCAUCCGUCCGGGCGUCCACCGACCACCGAACACCCAGAUCCGAGCAGGCGAGUAACAUACUGAGCCACCGAGGAAGAGGGUCUUCAUCAUUUCCGAGCAGUCGAGCAUCGACUCACCGAGGAAGAGGAACCAUCUUCUAUUCUUCAAUCUUCAUCAUUUCCGACUUUCCGAGCACUGUCUGUCUGUCUUCAUCAUUUCCGACCACCGAUGAGGAGGAGCCGAAGCCCGAAGAAGCCUGAUUCAGCAACUCGUGACUCGUGAGAGUUAAGAUGUGUUUUGCAGGUGGAAAAGUUCGAGUCUUAAUUCCGGUUGAAGGUGCGUAGAGUCAUUCAAAGGUCUUAUAUGUUUCGAGGCGGGAUUGCGAAUCCAAGGUGUAAUUAGUCCAUUCUAGAGUUUAUCCUUGGUUGUAUUAUUUGUUAUAAGAGCUUUUAGUUUAUAAUUUAUGAAUUUUGAUUCCUUGUUUGAGUUUGUAAUUAAGUUAAGUACUGUUUGAGUUAAGUUCGUUUAAUUAAGGUUUAAGUGAAUUAAAAAAGCAGCUCGUUAAGUGCUGGCUAUUACAACAUUCUUACUAA
Long non-coding RNA from Spinacia oleracea (spinach), 993 nucleotides. RefSeq lists it as uncharacterized. Lineage: Eukaryota; Viridiplantae; Streptophyta; Magnoliopsida; Caryophyllales; Amaranthaceae. The record is from RefSeq and is a predicted model, not a curated record. The transcript has 2 exons.